Molecule: ribosomal RNA, 360 nt
Filed under: Rhabditida sp. 3075ed
Lineage: Eukaryota; Metazoa; Nematoda; Chromadorea; Rhabditida
Description: partial 28S ribosomal RNA
Source: RNAcentral
GCACGUGAAAUCGGUAAGGUGGAAACGGAUAGAGUUAACGUAUCUGAUUUGUGUUCAGCUGUUAAUUGUUUGUAAUGUAUAAUUUUAAAAGUGUGUUAGUAGUUUACUGCCGUACAUUGCUUUUUAGUUUACAUCUGCAUCAAUUAGCGGUGCAUUUACAAAUCUAUGUGCGCUGGAACAUGUGCGUGGGUUGCUGGAUUCACAAGAAGAUCUUUACAAUUUAUUGUAUUGAGCAAACUUGUUGUCAUAAGGCAAUUCUGCGUGCAUGUCUAAUGAUUUUUUGGGGUAUGGCAUUAGCGAAUGCAUUUUGUGUAUGGUUUUGCAGCGUAUGUCGGUCGCUUGCGACACGUAUAUUGUUUU